UUGGGAAUCUUGCACAAUGGGGGAAACCCUGAUGCAGCGACGCCGCGUGGAGGAUGAAGGAUCUAGGUCUGUAAACUCCUUUUUCAGGGAAAGACUUAGGACGGUACCCUGAGAAUAAGGACCGGCUAACUACGUGCCAGCAGCCGCGGUAAGACGUAGGGUCCAAGCGUUGUCCGGAUUUACUGGGCGUAAAGAGCGCGUAGGCGGUCUGUUAAGUGUGAAGCUAAAUCUCUGGGCUCAACCCGGAAACUAUUUCGCAUACUGGCAGACUAGAGUGAUGCAGAGGUUUGUGGAAUUCCUGGUGUAGCGGUGAAAUGCGUUGAUAUCAGGAGGAACACCCAUGGCGAAGGCAGCAAACUGGGCAUUAACUGACGCUGAGGUGCGAAAGCGUGGGUAGCAAACAGGAUUAGAUACCCCCGUAGUCC
This 425-nucleotide ribosomal RNA is filed under the name uncultured bacterium. RNAcentral describes it as "bacterial SSU rRNA". It matches the Rfam family "Bacterial small subunit ribosomal RNA", at positions 355 to 796 of the family's 1533-position model. The record is from RNAcentral.